This 337-nucleotide long non-coding RNA is filed under the name Oryza brachyantha (malo sina). RNAcentral describes it as "long non-coding RNA (OBRA_LNC001020)". Lineage: Eukaryota; Viridiplantae; Streptophyta; Magnoliopsida; Poales; Poaceae. The record is from RNAcentral.
CGGCGGCGUCGGCUCCGGCGGCCACGGGCGGAGAGGAAAAGAGAGGGAUAGAGAGGACAGCGACGGCUUACCAGCGACGAGGAUGGCGAAGGCAAGUCGGCGAGGGCCGAGGACAGGUGGUGACGGCCGGCACGAGGUAGAUCGGCGGCGGCGAUGGAGAUCGCUCGGUGGCGCUAGCGCGGUGGCACGACGGACAACGGCCAGCGACGGCAACGGCCGAGAAGAGGAAAGGAAUCCGACGGGGAGAGGAGGGAGGAGCGGUGCGCGACGACGGCUUGGCGUUGUGGCGCGUGCACGGGGAGGCAGAGGAGGAUGGAGGGAGGGGAAACCGUGGCGA